Molecule: long non-coding RNA, 3117 nt
Organism: Odontomachus brunneus
Lineage: Eukaryota; Metazoa; Arthropoda; Insecta; Hymenoptera; Formicidae
Exons: 3
Source: RefSeq, a predicted model, not a curated record
AUCAGGACUAAGGUUUGAGUCAGAAAGAGAUAAAGGAAAAGAAACAAGAAGCAAAUAACACAUUAUAGAUCAAGCUUAAAAGUAAUACUGAGCAUAUCGAUCGUCACCAAGAAGUCUUCGAUUGAAUUUGCAGUAUAUCAAUCGUCAAUUAAACCUCCUUUAAUUAAAUUUGCUAAGUUCUAUUAUGAACUGAACGAUCUUUAAUUCCCUUCGCUCAUGUUAAUCGUCAAUUGAAUGGUCUCUAAUCGAAUUUGUUGAAAUCAAUUGUCAAACGAGCGGUUUUCGAUUAAAUUUGUUAAAAUCAAUUGUCAAUUAAGCAGUUUGAAUUGACUCAUAUUAAUCAUCAAUUAAACACGAUAAUUAAUUUAGAAAGUAUUUAAUUAAAAUAAUUAAUUACUCGCAACCCUGCUAUGAAUUGAUACUUUCAAGUAGAUUUUACUGAUUGCACUGCUGUACUGAAUCAUUAAUUAUAAAUAUAGCAUUUUAAUGAAGAAUACACUAAUUGUACUUCAGAGAGUAUAUUGUACUCUCUCUUUAUGUAUUUUGCAAAUAUUUUGCCAUGAUAAAAAGACAAAACUGUAUAUAUAAAAAAUCUGUAUAGUUGAUCUUGCAACUUUACUCUAGAUAAUUUAAAUUAUAAAAAGAUUGUAACAAAUCGUGUAAGAGAUUAUCUUCUUUCAAAUAACUAAUAUAAUGAGUAAAAGAAAAAUUAGUCGAGCAGAGCUGGGAGAUUCUUUUUCCGUUCGUCAGCAUUGAUGCAGAAUGGAAAAUCGUCGACGCGAAAAUUCCGGCCGAUCGACGAGGAGAAAUGGGGGAUCUUCACGGAUCCGGAGAUGAUUAUUGCAGAAAAAUCAAUUUGAAGGAGAGAUCGGCCAUUAAAUAUAUAGUCGAAAUACACCCCGCAAUCGUGAUAAUUAACGAAGGAAGGUGCGGCCGCAAUAAAGAGAUAAUGACAGAUGUUAUGCCGACAUUAAGUAAUUAAUUCCGAACUACACGAAUGGAUGAUGGCAGAGACGAUCGCUACGCGCAUUCCUGUACCUGGUGGCACGCGCCAUGCGCUCCGGCCCGGCAACAGCUGCUCCUGCGCCCAAAGACCGGAGGUAGAUGAAUAAAGUGAGAGGCACACCUUGCUGCAGGCGCGUGCCGGCAGCUUUCAAGAUGUGAAUACCGAGAUCCUCCGUCUGUCUGGGCCGUUGAUCUCUCACCCUUUUAUCACCGGGAAUCGGAGCCGGCGAAACGCCGCCGCCGCCGCCGCCGCCGCCGCCGCCGCCGCAUAUGUCCGCCGUAGUCGGAGGCUUCCCGCGCGUACGCAAUAUCGAUCGCCGCGCAAGCGACUCGCUAAUUGCUGCGUCAAUCGAUCCACCGCGUAUCAGACGUGUUAACCGUAACGGUGUUUUGCGAAAAGAGAAAAAGAAGAGAGGAAAACAGAAUAAGUCUAAAGAGGGGAGUCUCUUCUCGAGAAGCAAUCUGCGGCAACACUCUCGUCGGAUCUUCAUUACCAAGUUAGACACAUGUAUGUGAAUUUGGCAGCGACUUUAUUAGUCGUUUUACUUGCCUCUCUUAUGAGCGGUUCAUACAGCACUCAUAUUUAACAUAUAAAACGAAAUAGAAAUACAACAGAAACAACAGAUUUUCGAGAUUUGUUCAAAAUAAUAUGUUAUGUAAAAUGUAAUAUGAAAAUUUGUAAGUAAAUUUGCAAAUUUACUUACUUUUAGUAAAUUUGUCGCUGUAUCAAUAUAACAAAAAAUUUACGUCACUGUGUAAAGUAAAUUUAAUGGAAAUCGCGGCGAUUCGAGAAGACACUUGAAACACUUAACCAUGCCGGCGUGCAAAUCUGAAGUAUGAAAACAAGCCACGAAGAUGCACGCGCAAUCGAGAGUCGAAUCGCAAGAAGUUACUUGAAGCGGCUUCAUCAUGUGACAACACCCACUGAGCAGACCUGCCCUACGUUAGCGAUCAAUAUUCAUCUGCGCUAUCACUAAUAUAUACUUCGAUGUAAAUUUAAUGAUUAAUUCACACUGAGAAAAAAGAUAUUAAAAAGUUAAUAAGUAUUUAUUAGAUGGGUACUAUUAACAUAUUUAUUUAAAUCAAAAUUCUCUUCAUUUAGAUCGAAUAAAAAAUAUUCGGUUUAAAUGAAAAGAAUUUUGAUUUACGUAAACAUGUUAAUAAUACCCAUCUAAUAAAUAUUUGUUAAUUUUUAGAUAUUUUUUUCUCAGUGUAAUUGUACAAACUGCAAUCGAGUCAAAUUGAAUAAAAAUUUAAUCAAAUAGGCAAUAUCUGAUAUAAAACUUUCAAUUGCAUUUGAAACUUGAGAAUAAUAUGAUAUCCGCAUAAAAAAAUAAUUAGGUGUGAAGAUAUUGAGAAAAGAAAUAAUUGAAUCGAUAAAAUCGGUGGUUAUUCGUUUGCGAAGAAAUAUUGUGUCUUUAACAAAUUACGUGUUAGUGCAACAAUAAAUUGCGUUGAUAUAGUUAUUGACCAAAUCAAUUGGUAACUGUCGUCGUAGUAACGUUAUAAUUCGUUCAAUCGACUAAAUGUUUGUUUAGACGAAUUUUGGUCGUUCAAGCAAAGUCUCAUUAACUCUCAUUAAGUCUCAUUAACGCUUCUCUUCUCGGUGAAGAACUAAGGCUCAGAUUUUGUGAUGCUCAUUGCAGUUGGGUCAAAUUAAAUAAAGUCAAGUCAGAUAAACAAUCCGAUACAGAAAUUUCAACUACGAAAUUUCAUUAACGUUUAAAAGUUAAUAAAACUGAAAUGUAAUUUUGUAUAUAUGAUAUAGAUGUUUGUCCAAUUGUUAAGACAUUAAUCUAAAUUAAAAAUACAAGUAAGUCUAUCUGUGGUUAAAAGUAGUUGAGCAAAUUGGACCGAUAAUGUAAUUGAGUCAAUGUAGAGAUCGUCUCAUUGAACUAAAUGUUCAGUUUAUUUUAUACAUAACAUGGAUAACAUUAAAAUAACACGAAAAAUGUUAAUACAAAUCCACCAAAUAAAUAUUUGUCAAUUUUUUAAUAUUUUUUUCUUAGUGCAGAUCUGUGUAACCCUGAAACUUAGUUCUCCUUACCUAAUUUCUAUUGUCAAUACGCGUAUUGUUAAUACUACCUUAAUAUUAUUACUUAAAAUACCUCA